AGGACGAACGCUGGCGGCGCGCCUAACACAUGCAAGUCGAACGAGCGAGAGAGAGCUUGCUUUCUCGAGCGAGUGGCGAACGGGUGAGUAACGCGUGAGGAACCUGCCUCAAAGAGGGGGAUAACAGUCGGAAACGACUGCUAAUACCGCAUAAGCGCACAGUGCCGCAUGGCACAGUGUGAAAAACUCCGGUGGUCUGGGAUGGACCCGCGUCCGAUUAGUUAGUUGGCGGGGUAACGGCCCACCAAGACCGCGAUCGGUAGCCGACCUGAGAGGGUGACCGGCCACAUUGGGACUGAGACACGGCCCAGACUCCUACGGGAGGCAGCAGUGGGGAAUAUUGCACAAUGGAGGAAACUCUGAUGCAGCGACGCCGCGUGGAGGAAGAAGGUUUUCGGAUUGUAAACUCCUGUCGUUAGGGACGAUAAUGACGGUACCUAACAAGAAAGCACCGGCUAACUACGUG
RNAcentral lists this ribosomal RNA (466 nucleotides) under uncultured bacterium. RNAcentral describes it as "bacterial SSU rRNA". It matches the Rfam family "Bacterial small subunit ribosomal RNA", at positions 26 to 507 of the family's 1533-position model. The record is from RNAcentral.